Molecule: ribosomal RNA, 253 nt
Filed under: uncultured bacterium
Lineage: Bacteria
Description: partial 16S ribosomal RNA
Rfam family: Bacterial small subunit ribosomal RNA
Source: RNAcentral
UACGGGGGGGGCAAGCGUUGUUCGGAAUUACUGGGCGUAAAGGGCUUGUAGGUGGCCAACUAAGUCAGACGUGAAAUCCCUCGGCUUAACCGGGGAACUGCGUCUGAUACUGGAUGGCUAGAGUUUGGGAGAGGGAUGCGGAAUUCCAGGUGUAGCGGUGAAAUGCGUAGAUAUCUGGAGGAACACCGGUGGCGAAAGCGCUCUGCUAGGCCGCAACUGACACUGAGGGACGAAAGCUAGGGGAGCGAAUGGG